RNAcentral lists this ribosomal RNA (895 nucleotides) under Bacillus pumilus. RNAcentral's name for it is "partial 16S ribosomal RNA". The record is from RNAcentral. Lineage: Bacteria; Bacillati; Bacillota; Bacilli; Caryophanales; Bacillaceae.
GGGCUGGGAAAUGCCUUAAUGCGUUAGCUGCAGCACUAAGGGGCGGAAACCCCCUAACACUUAGUACUCAUCGUUUACGGCGUGGACUACCAGGGUAUCUAAUCCUGUUCGCUCCCCACGCUUUCGCUCCUCAGCGUCAGUUACAGACCAGAGAGUCGCCUUCGCCACUGGUGUUCCUCCACAUCUCUACGCAUUUCACCGCUACACGUGGAAUUCCACUCUCCUCUUCUGCACUCAAGUUUCCCAGUUUCCAAUGACCCUCCCCGGUUGAGCCGGGGGCUUUCACAUCAGACUUAAGAAACCGCCUGCGAGCCCUUUACGCCCAAUAAUUCCGGACAACGCUUGCCACCUACGUAUUACCGCGGCUGCUGGCACGUAGUUAGCCGUGGCUUUCUGGUUAGGUACCGUCAAGGUGCGAGCAGUUACUCUCGCACUUGUUCUUCCCUAACAACAGAGCUUUACGAUCCGAAAACCUUCAUCACUCACGCGGCGUUGCUCCGUCAGACUUUCGUCCAUUGCGGAAGAUUCCCUACUGCUGCCUCCCGUAGGAGUCUGGGCCGUGUCUCAGUCCCAGUGUGGCCGAUCACCCUCUCAGGUCGGCUACGCAUCGUCGCCUUGGUGAGCCAUUACCCCACCAACUAGCUAAUGCGCCGCGGGUCCAUCUGUAAGUGACAGCCGAAACCGUCUUUCAUCCUUGAACCAUGCGGUUCAAGGAACUAUCCGGUAUUAGCUCCGGUUUCCCGGAGUUAUCCCAGUCUUACAGGCAGGUUACCCACGUGUUACUCACCCGUCCGCCGCUAACAUCCGGGAGCAAGCUCCUUCUGUUCGCUCGACUUUGCAUGUAUAAGGCACGCCGCCAGCGUUCGUCCUGAGCCGGGGAUCAAAACUUCAGGGG